AUGGGGCACCACUGCUGCAGCAAGCAGAAGGUGAAGCGGGGGCUAUGGUCCCCAGAGGAGGACGAGAAGCUCCUCAGGUACAUCACGGCGCACGGCCACAGCUGCUGGAGCGCCGUCCCCAAGAACGCCGGGCUGCAGCGCUGCGGCAAGAGCUGCCGGCUCCGGUGGAUCAACUACCUCCGCCCGGACCUGAAGCGCGGCACCUUCUCCGAGCAGGAGGAGCGCACCAUCCUCGACGUCCACCGCAUCCUCGGCAACCGGUGGGCACAGAUCGCCAAGCAUCUGCCGGGCCGCACAGACAACGAGGUCAAGAACUUCUGGAACUCGUGCAUCAAGAAGAAGCUCAUCGCGCAGGGUCUCGACCCCAAGACCCACAACCUGCUCCCGGCAUCCAAGAACCUCCUCCAUGCACAUGGCGCCACCGGCUCCAGCAGCAACCCUAGCAACAACCCUGCUGCAGGCGCCCAAUUCCAUUCUCCCAAUGGAAACCGGAACGGUUGCGCCACGCCGCUGUUCACCAUCAGCUCCCCGACCAAGGCGAUCUACGACGCUGCCACGGUUGCGCCGGGUUUGUACGACGUCCAUAACCCUGGCAUGCUGAUGGGGCAGCACGAGCGCGGUCACCAAGCUGCGCUGGCCAUGCAGCAGGGCUACCCGUACGUCCACAACAACGGCGGUGGUUUACUCCUGAGCUUCAGGGAUCAGACCGCCGCGGGCGUCCACGCCUCCAUGGACUUCAUGAAUGGCUCUUCUAAUUCGUCGUCUUCCAUGGAGUACGCGGCCGGCAUGCCCAACGGCAACGUCUUCAACCCGGGCGUGGCGGCGUUCAUGGACGAGACGGCCGCAAUGUGGGCCACAGUUGUCGAACCAGGAAUGGGUCCCGGGAUCGAAAUGGCACAUGAGCAUCGACAACAGCAUGGGUUGGGGCUGGAAGAGGUAGUUCGACUUGGACCCCCGCCGCCGCCAUUGAUCAACGGCGGUAGCUCAGGUGGCAAGGGACUGGAUAUGAUGGACGUCUCUUCGGAAGUGUACGGCUCCGCCGGUACAACGGCGGCGUUCGACCUUGAGCUGAUGGAGUCGUGCGGAUUAUUUUGCGGCGCCGCUGGCAAUGGCAUGGAGCAGCUGCAAUGGGAUUGCUAA
Molecule: ribosomal RNA, 1140 nt
Filed under: Triticum aestivum (bread wheat)
Lineage: Eukaryota; Viridiplantae; Streptophyta; Magnoliopsida; Poales; Poaceae
Description: partial small subunit ribosomal RNA
Source: RNAcentral